RNAcentral lists this unclassified non-coding RNA (337 nucleotides) under soil metagenome. RNAcentral describes it as "partial contains 5.8S ribosomal RNA, internal transcribed spacer 2, and large subunit ribosomal RNA". The stretch from base 1 to 120 matches the Rfam family "5.8S ribosomal RNA", at positions 35 to 154 of the family's 154-position model. The record is from RNAcentral.
GAUGAAGAACGCAGCGAAAUGCGAUAAGUAGUGUGAAUUGCAGAAUUCAGUGAAUCAUCGAAUCUUUGAACGCACAUUGCGCCCCUUGGUAUUCCAUGGGGCAUGCCUGUUCGAGCGUCAUUUGUACCUUCAAGCUCUGCUUGGUGUUGGGUGUUUGUCUCGCCUCUGCGUGUAGACUCGCCUCAAAACAAUUGGCAGCCGGCGUAUUGAUUUCGGAGCGCAGUACAUCUCGCGCUUUGCACUCAUAACGACGACGUCCAAAAGUACAUUUUUACACUCUUGACCUCGGAUCAAGUAGGGAUACCCGCUGAACUUAAGCAUAUCAAUAAGCGGAGGA